RNAcentral lists this ribosomal RNA (261 nucleotides) under uncultured bacterium. Its description in RNAcentral is "partial 16S ribosomal RNA". It matches the Rfam family "Bacterial small subunit ribosomal RNA", at positions 793 to 1055 of the family's 1533-position model. The record is from RNAcentral.
GUCCACACCCUAAACGAUGAAUACUAGACGUUGGUCCUUUAAGGGUCAGUGUCUGAGCUAACGCAUUAAGUAUUCCACCUGGGAAGUACGAUCGCAAGGUUGAAACUCAAAGGAAUUGACGGGGGCCCGCACAAGCAGUGGAGCAUGUGGUUUAAUUCGAUGCAACGCGAAGAACCUUACCUAGGCUUGAAACGCAAGUUAAAGCUGAUGAAAGUCAGUGUUCCGCAAGGAGAACUUGUACAGGUGCUGCAUGGCUGUCGU